This 387-nucleotide ribosomal RNA is filed under the name Triticum aestivum (bread wheat). RNAcentral describes it as "partial small subunit ribosomal RNA". The record is from RNAcentral. Lineage: Eukaryota; Viridiplantae; Streptophyta; Magnoliopsida; Poales; Poaceae.
AUGAUGCUCCGGCUUCUCCAGCUGCUCAAGCCGUGGUUCGGCAGCCUCCACCCGCUCCUGCAGUUUCAGAUGGUGCUGAGCACCUCCUCCAAGGCCAGAGGACGUCCAGAUGGUUCUUGGAGCACACUUGAGCCCACUCUGGCCGACAAUAUGGUUGGCGGAAACCAGAUGCUUACCAGUUCCUCGAAAAGCUUCCCCGGUCACGCAAUUCGUGAUCCUCCCCGCAGAUUAAUGGCGUUUAUGCCGCACUCCCAGCUGGUGCUGCUCGUGUCGCAGCAGGGGAAGCGACCUUGGAAUUAUCUUGGGAGCUCAAGAAUGUUUCCUAAGCACCCGACUCAUGAAUCCGGACAUCCUUCAAGAAGAAAGGCGCAGCCUGCAAUAUCAUGA